This is a long non-coding RNA of Lactuca sativa (garden lettuce), 1061 nucleotides long. RefSeq lists it as uncharacterized. The record is from RefSeq and is a predicted model, not a curated record. Lineage: Eukaryota; Viridiplantae; Streptophyta; Magnoliopsida; Asterales; Asteraceae.
GACCUUGAUUACCUUGAUUGAAACAAUCUAGGGCGACAUUUCCCCAAAUAAGUCUUCUUCUCCAAAUCAAAUCAAAUUUGUCAAUCACAUGACCUGUAGCCGAUCGCAUUCCUCAUUCUUCAGAUCACUUACGCCAUUAUCGAUCGGAGCUCCUCUCACUCUCAUUAGCUUUGUCGUUCGAUUCCUGCUCCAUCAACUGGUAGAUUUUUCUUGAUUGUCUUCAUCCCUACCAGGUGCCCUGAAUCUGAUCUACUAUUAUAAAUCCUAACAAAUUAAGUUCUUUAUCGGCCAAAUUGAUAUAGAGAAGAAGCUUUGGGGACAUGAUUUGGCACACCAUGAACUAUUCUUGUAUACACACUAAGAAUCAGGAUGGAAUGACUUUUUUUAGUUGACAAAGCUAAAAAAAUUCAUGUAAGCUUUAUUUUGAAUAAUUUCAUGUAAGUUUUAUUUUGAUUUUUUUGUAUAAGUUUUAUCUCAACACAAUUAUAAAAUUAUAGGAUGAUUUUAUGGAACGAUGUGAUCGGUAGGAAACGAUAAGAGAGGAAAUUGAUGAGGACAAACUAUUUUAUGAUGUCGUUGGGGGACAUGAUCGAAAAAUAAUAGAUUAUAUGGAUUUGACUCAUAUGAAAAGCGCAUUCGUUCUAGUAAAAGAUCUUUUGAAACACAUUGCGAACAAUAUGAAGAUAAUAAUGUCAAGACAAAAGUCGAGAUUGAGAAUUUGAAGAAGUUAGUUGAGACGCAACGCGAACAAUAUGAGGAUUCAACAAAAAUAUGAGGAUGUUCAGCAAAAAUAUGAGGAUGCUCAGAAAAAGAAUGUGGAGUUUCAGCAGAAAAAUAUGGAUGUUCAAGCAAAGUUUGAACAACAACUCGCUCAAGCAAUGAAUAUCAUUAACACAUUGAGUGAACAGGUCAAAACUUUUAUUAAUCAAUGAUAGAAUAUUAUGUAUCGAAUAAUAUUUUACGUUAAAUUUGUAGCGACUUUUGAUUUUCAAUAUGUAUCUUUUGAUGUAUUGGAUAUUUCUUUUAGUUUCUAUAGAAAUACUUUGUUAUUUUUGGUUUUA